Molecule: small RNA, 1959 nt
Filed under: Pongo abelii (Sumatran orangutan)
Lineage: Eukaryota; Metazoa; Chordata; Mammalia; Primates; Hominidae
Description: retained intron
Source: RNAcentral
UCGGAUACUGAGGAGGCUUGAACCUGUGGGUGGGAGGUGAAGCGGGACGGUCCCGGCGGGUCCAAAUGCAGUCGGGAAGGGGAGGACGGGAAGUCUAGCCGGCUUGGACCUGCCCCACUCUGUUACCUGCCAGAUGACGCUGAGGAAACUGCUUUUCUUCUCGAGGCCUCCGUUGCCUCGUCUGUGCCCGGGCGGUGGUGCUUAUCCGGCGGGGUCGCAGGGAGGUCUUGUGGCGGCGCGUGUUGGGUCUGCGUUUUCCUUCUGGGGAGCUUGGGCAGCAUGAGCCCAGGGCUGUGGACAGCCCGGUGCUCACGGGUUUGUGGCUCCACAGACUUCCCAAGAAAGACAACCCGAGGCGAGGCUUGUGGCUGGCCAACUGCCAGCGGCUGGACCCCAGCGGCCAGGGCCUGUGGGACCCGGCAUCCGAGUACAUCUACUUCUGCUCCAAACACUUUGAGGAGAACUGCUUUGAGCUGGUGGGAAUCAGCGGGUAUCACAGGCUAAAGGAGGGGGCAGUCCCCACCAUAUUUGAGUCUUUCUCCAAGUUGCGCCGGACAACCAAGACCAAAGGACACAGUUAUUCACCUGGCCCCCCUGAAGUCAGCCGGCUCAGACGAUGCAGGAAGCGCUGCUCCGAGGGCCGAGGGCCCACAACUCCAUUUUCUCCACCUCCACCUGCUGAUGUCACCUGCUUUCCUGUAGAAGAGGCCUCAGCACCUGCCACUUUGCCGGCCUCCCCAGCUGGGAGGCUGGAGCCUGGCCUUAGCAGCCCCUUUUCAGACCUACUGGGCCCCCUGGGUGCCCAGGCAGAUGAAGCAGGCUGCAGUGCCCAGCCUUCACCAGAGCGGCAGCCCUCCCCUCUCGAACCACGGCCAGUCUCCCCCUCAGCCUAUAUGCUGCGCCUGCCCCCACCCGCCGGAGCCUACAUCCAGAAUGAACACAGCUACCAGGUGGGCAGCGCCUUACUCUGGAAGCGGCGAGCUGAGGCGGCCCUUGAUGCCCUUGACAAGGCCCAGCGCCAGCUGCAGGCCUGCAAGCGGCGGGAGCAGCGGCUGCGGCUGAGACUGACCAAGCUGCAGCAGGAGCGGGCACGGGAGAAGCGGGCACAGGCAGAUGCCCGCCAGACUCUGAAGGAGCAUGUGCAGGACUUUGCCAUGCAGCUGAGCAGCAGCAUGGCCUGAGGGGCUGCUGGACUGACCGAGGGGCUACCCAGCAAGACUGCAGCCUCUUCCUCCCUCAGAUCCCACCAGACCCACCAGGUGCCAUAAUAAAGCGGAUUCUAGACGGAGGGCCUGCUGUCUGGCUCAGCUGGGGGCUGGAGCCCCUCUGAGUACUAAGCUUGCUGCCCCAGACAGCGGCUGCAGCUCCCAGAGGGCUCAGUCCAAGCUCUUUGCCAAGGAGAACAGGGAGCCUGGCUCUCACCCCUCAGAGCUACUGGUAGACAGGUGGCAGUCAGCCCUGCCAGCGCAGCUCCGUGCCCCACAGGUUUCUCUGUAGGGGCAGGAUGGUGUGAGUAAGGGCCAGGAAGACAGCUCCAGGUGCCCUCUCCAUAGGAUCUGAAACAGCCCUGACUUAAACCAGCCAGCCCCUUUGAGAAUACUUCUAAAACCCAGUCUAGAUCCGGUUCUCAAGCAGGAUCAUGACAGGCUUCUGUCCACAGGCCCCAUCAGCCUGGUGGGUAAGCAGGACAACCCUCUCCCCGCCCCCUUCACUAUCAUCUCUAUUGGAAAAAACGGGGAUGAUGAUGACAGUCAUCAACCUCCUGGGGCAUGUCAGCAGGUAGUAGAGCCCCAACAAGCUAGUCCCUGGAAAUCUAGGAAGAGGUGGCCAGAACAUGGAGAUAAGCACUCAGGUCCUGGUCUCAGCAUCCUUUUCCUUCAACUCCCAGGAACCUGGAAGGCCUUGCUGCAGCUACAGUUCUCAAGCAGCUCCAUGUGUGGGGUGACUCACUGCAAGUAU